UUGCUGUGAAUAAAUGGGACAACAUCAUUGCUGGUAAUAAGGUGGAAGUCUGGGGCACGAGUUCUUGUUGUCGUGGACUAGUGAGCUCACUCUCUCUUUUGAAGGCGAGGUUUAUGUGUUUUUUGCUGUUAUGCCCCAGAAGGAACUAUAUGGUGGAAUGUUGCAUAAAGAGUCUUUGGGAGAUCGAGCGUGGAGUACCAAGCAUUAAUGCAACAAGCUAUAUUUUGUUUCAUCAUGUAAAACUUAACCAGGAAACUUAAAUGCUUUUUAGUCUAUCCAAUGUAUGAAUGCUUUAGCAAUGUUCCUUAAAUUCAAUAUUUGAUGAAUUGAUGUAUCCCAAUGACUUUGGUACAAAUGUUGAUCAUUUGAUGGUUUGCAUUCAA
Long non-coding RNA from Rosa chinensis, 383 nucleotides. RefSeq lists it as uncharacterized. The record is from RefSeq and is a predicted model, not a curated record. The transcript has 2 exons. Lineage: Eukaryota; Viridiplantae; Streptophyta; Magnoliopsida; Rosales; Rosaceae.